CAGCAGCCACGGGAAUACGUAGGGUGCGAGCGUUAAUCGGAAUUACUGGGCGUAAAGCGUGCGCAGGCGGUUGUGUAAGACAGGCGUAAAAUCCCCGGGCUUAACCUGGGAACUGCGCUUGUGACUGCACAGCUAGAGUAUGGCAGAGGGGGGUGGAAUUCCACGUGUAGCAGUGAAAUGCGUAGAGAUGUGGAGGAACACCGAUGGCGAAGGCAGCCCCCUGGGCCAGUACUGACGCUCAUGCACGAAAGCGUGGGGAGCAAACAGGAUUAGAUACCCCGGUAGUCCCUGUCUCUUAUAA
Molecule: ribosomal RNA, 301 nt
Filed under: uncultured bacterium
Lineage: Bacteria
Description: partial 16S ribosomal RNA
Rfam family: Bacterial small subunit ribosomal RNA
Source: RNAcentral